GCCUGCCUUUCUACGAAGUUCCACUCUCGAAUAGACCUCAAAUUUGGAUCCUGAUUACUUGACUUUAUUUCUCUGGAGGAAACGAGGGUAAUGGCCCAAUCCUUUGAUACAUCGUACUGCUCCGCAAGAAUUCCUCCUCGAGGCUCGUUGUACGAUGCUAUCAAGUACUUUCCAUUUACUUUAAUUUCUCGGAAGUUGUCAUAUUUCUUACGAAGAUCUACUUAAAUUUUUUUAAUCUGUUAACUGGUGAAGAGUUGCUAUUAUUCUUUCAGAAAGUGUAUUUCCUUCUUCAUCAUUCCUACUUUAUCGAUAGAUAUAAAAUGGUCGGUUAAGUUCAUGAAGCUAGUUUGGAAUUUGAAUCCACUAAGGUUCACACACUUUUCUUUCUUUAUGAAACUACACAACAAGCUUCCCAAUCAGGUGCUUGCCCUGGGUACUAAUACCCUAUGGAGUAUAGAGGGGCUAUGGUUGUUGAUAAGUGUUUUACGCACUUAUCAGAUACUUUAACAAGUUAAUUAUUGAUUGAAUUGGGUGAAUUUUUGCAAUUGUGUAAUUAUGACUUUUGUUGGUCAAAACCCCAAAAGGAGAAAAACAACGAGGCAGAACAAAGAGAAAAGGGA
This 620-nucleotide long non-coding RNA is filed under the name Olea europaea subsp. europaea. The record is from RNAcentral. Lineage: Eukaryota; Viridiplantae; Streptophyta; Magnoliopsida; Lamiales; Oleaceae.